UGUAACCAAUUCCUCAUAGCCACAAGGCAUAUGACGGUAUGAGCUGAAAACACCAUAAUUCAAAACUCGCAUUAAAUUCGAUUUCGCGCUUUUGCAGAACUCCCCCUCUGAACCUCUCUCUGAAUAACCAUGGAUUAUCAUAGUCUAACAAGAAAGGAACUACAAUUUCUGUGUAAGAAGAAUAAGAUCAGAGCUAACAUGACUAAUUUCGCAAUGGCUGAUACCCUUUCUUCUCUCCCCAAGGUUCAUGGAGUUGAAGGCAAUCGAAACUUCACACCAGAGACUCCAACACUCACCAGCACCAGCAGGAAGAGUAAAGCAACUGCAACAAAACCGCUAUCUUAUCUGGAUAACAGUGAACCAAUGUCUUCUAAUGGUGAUCUUGCUAGACAUACUCUUUCACCCUUAACAAACUUGUACCCCUCAGAUAUUAAUAUACCCAAAGAGGUCCACGUUGUUGAUCAUCCACAUGGUACAAGGCUAGCAAAAAGAUUGAAGUUGUCUGCUCAGAAGGUAGGAGGAAGAAAUGAUGCUAUUAACAUUGAAAUGUUGCCUGGCGAAGACAAGAAUGAGGAGAUGAGAACGAAGUAUGAAGUAAAUGAUGAUGUCUUACCGUACAACGAGGGAAAUAGGAUCAAGGUUUCUAAUGAAGAACAAGACGAAGUUGGUACUGGAGAUGUAUCUUAUAUAAUGGUCUGUGCUGAAUCUUUGAAGUUGGAAGAAUUUACAGUUCAUUUAAAUGGUGAUCAAGAUGCUAUUAUCGAAGAAACCUCUAGUACAUCGAUCAUGGGUGGGGUCUCCGGGGAUAAAACUGGUUGUUCUCUUAGUGGAUGCAGUUCUGAAGUCUCUUAUGCUCCUAGGGUAUCUGCUAAAAAAUCCUUGAACAUAACUCGUACUCUUGUUGGAUGCACAUCUGACAUCUCUUCUGCUCCAAUGGUAUCUAAACCCGUGAAAGUUGUUUGUGAUCUUAAUGAAACUUAUUUAAUGGGUGAGGAAACUAUGAACAUUAAAGAUCCAAAUGAAGAUCAAAACAUGGAAAGUAAAGAUGAACCCAUACAAGUCAAUGAACCUUCUCUAACAGUGGAGAAAACUGAAAUUUUCGAAGCUUCAAAUCUUGAUGAUCAGAAGAGCAAGCUCAUGUGUGAUAUUGAGCUCUGCAAUGUCAAGGUAACUGAAGCUGAAAGAGAGAACAUUUCUAAUGGUAAUGAUGACAUUUCAGAUGCUGCUGAGAAGUUAUCCUUCUCUCCAUCAGUCACUGGUUUAACUGCCAACCAGAUUCCAGUAUAUGUUGCAACUCCUACCAGAACAACCACAUCGGAUGAUAAGGUUCAAGAGACAACCCCCUUAAUCUCACAUACUACAUCGAUCAUGGGUGGGGUUCCCAGGGAUAAAAUUGGUUGUUCUCUUAAUGGAUGCAGUUCUAAAGUCUCCUAUGCUCCUAGGGUAUCUGCUAAAAAAUCCUUGAACACAGCUCGUACUCUUGUUGGAUGCACAUCUGACAUCUUUUCUGCUCCAAUGCUAUCUAAAUCCGUGAAAGUUGUUUGUGAUCUUAAUGAAACUUAUUUAAUGAGUGAGGAAACUAUAAACAUUAAAGACUCAAAUGAAGAUGAAGACAUGGAAAGUAAAGAUCAACCCGGACGAGUCAAUGAACCUUCUCUAACAGUGGAGAAAGCUGAAAUUUUGGAAGCUUCAAAUCAUGAUGAUGAGAAGAGCAAGCUCAUGUGUGAUAUUGAGCUCUGCAAUGUCAAGGUAACUGAAGUUGAAGCGAAGAACAGUUCUAGUGGUAAUGAUGACAUUUCAGAUGCUGCUGAGAAGUUAUCCUUCUCUCCAUCAGCCACUGGUUUAACUGCCAACCAGAUUCCAGUGUAUGUCGCAACUCCUACCAGAACAACUACAUUGGAUGAUAAGGUUCAAGGGACAACCCCCUUAAUCUCAUAUACUAAGAAGAAAGAAGUUACAAUUCCUAUCAUAUCUGCCGGGAAGUCCAUGAACAUUGCUCGUGCUUGUGUUGGAUGUACUUCUGAAUUGUCCUCUGCUCCUACAAUAUCUGCCGAGAAAUCCAUGAACAAUGCUCUAGUUCGUUGUAAAACUUCUCUAGUGGGGGAGGAAACUGAAAACAUUAAGGUCCCAAAUGAACAAAACAUGGAAAUUAUGGAUCAACCCAUAGAAAUCAAUGAAGUUGUUGGAUUUAAAAGCGCUCAUAAUUUAGAAGUGAAGUUCAUCAAUGAGGAUGAACUUAGUAAUCUCAAGGGCACCGAAGUUGAAACGAAAUAUGUUGAUGAAUCUUUUCUAAUGGUGAAGAAGGCUGAAAAUUUGGAAGACUCAAAUGUUGAUGAUGGGAAGAUUAAGUUCACAUGUGAGGUUGGGUUCUGUGGUGUCAAGGUCACUGAAAUUGAAGAGGAUAGUGAGGAGGACGGUCCUAAUGUUAAUAAUGACAUUUCAGAUGUUCUUGAGAAGUUCUCCCUCUCUCCGUCAGCCACUGGUCCAGUUGUGAACCCGAUUCCAGUGCAUGUCGCAAGUCCUACUAGAGCAACUGCGUCCGAGAAUCAGGUUCAGGAAACAACUCCCUUAAACUCAUUUAUUACGAAAAAAGCAGUUACAACUCCAAAAGGUUCCAUCGAGGUUUUGGAUGACAUGAGGGGGAUCAAUGAAAGAGGCAAAUGCAGUGCAAGUACUUCUAAGGUGGUAACUGAGUUAGAAGCUGAACUAAAGCAUAGCAAAGGUGAAAACAGUUCUCAAGGAAAACUGAAUUCCACAAGUAUAAGACAGUUGAAAAGGAUGAUUAAACUUACUCAUUCAGAAAAUAAAAACGCCACUGUCGAUCAAAACAAGGAAAUAAGACCUGAAGAGCAUGAGAACGAAGGUCAAAACACUCUCCAGAGGAAGGUUGGGUUCUGUGAUGUCAAGGUCACUGAAGUUGAAGAGGACAGUGAGGAGGUCGGUUUUAAUGUUAAUAAUGACAUUUCAGAUGUUCUUGAGAAGUUCUCCCUCUCUCCGUCAGCCACUGGUCCAGUUGUGAACCCGAUUCCAGUGCAUGUCGCAAAUCCUACUAGAGCAACUGCGUCCGAGGAUCAGGUUCAGGAAACAACUCCCUUAAUCUCAUUUAUUACGAAAAAAGCAGUUACAACUCCAAAAGGUUCCAUCAAGGUUUCGGGUGACAUGAGGGGGAUCAAUGAAAGAGGCAAAUGCAGAGCAAGUACUUCUAAGGUGGUAACUGAGUUUGAAGCUGAACUAAAGCAUAGCAAAGGUGAAAACAGUUCUCAAGGAAAACUGAAUUUCACAAGUAUAAGACAGUUGAAAAAGAUGAUUAAACUUACUCACCCAGAAAACAAAAACGCCAUUGUCGAUCAAAACAAGGAAAUAAGACCUGAAGAGCAUGAGAACAAAGGUCAAAACACUCUCCAGAGGAAACUGAAAGCUACGAGUUUAAGACAGUUGAAAAAGACAGUUAAACAACUUAUUCAGUCAGACAAUGAAAACAUCAAUGUCAAAUUAAACAAAAAAGUUGUACCUGAAGACAACGAGGACAAGGAUCAAAACACUGCCGAAAGGGAACUGAAAGCUACAAGUGCAAGACAGUUGAUAAAGAUGAUUAAACAACGUACUCAAACAACAAAAACACCACUGCCAAGUCUAAUCUUGGCAGAAUAACCUGCAAGGGCCAGUGUUUUAGAAGUUACUAGAAGGCUGUGUGUGAGGUUUGGUGGUGCCGAAGGUGUAGUCUUCUCCAAACAUUUCUUUCCCAUCUCCAGAAACUUUGUAAAUGAGGCAGAAGUCGCUAGUGCAGUCGUGAGAAACUACAGGAUAUCCAUGAGAAGUUGCCUCGCUACUGCAGAACACAAAUCUCUUACCCAGAAUAUCAACCAGGAAAGAAGAAGGAUGAAGGAUCAUUCCGAAAAACUCUUUAUAUGAUGAAUAAGUGCAGUUGUUUUUCUUCUGUUAUUUUGCUGGGUACCCCUUAUUUUAUCAUCAGCACUUAUUUGACGACAGUUUUUGAUGUGUUCAGGAAUUUUCCUGUUGUGUUGGUUCACUUAUAUAACUUUUUUUUGUCUGAAAUACUUGAGUCGCUACAUCUGACAUGGCUAAUGUGUCCUUACAUUGUCAUACUUGAAGAGGGAGGUUGAACUGAACAUUCAUAGAAUGAUUCUUCGUGACAUUCAGGGAUGAACUGAUUGAUAGGAGCAUGACUAAGUAUCUCAAAGAAGCGAAAACAGGGAAGUUGGACAUCCAAGUUAUGGCCUCGAAUGGAUACCGACUGCUCUUAUAUCAAAGCGUGCCGUGAACGCUUACACACAGUUGAUGGCCAAGGGUACUCUCAAACCGUCCAGAGUGUCAAAUCUGUUGCUGUCUGGGAUGGGUGAAGACUGCCAUGGAAGGUUGUGCAGGCAGUAGUCUAGCCGACGAAGGUGCAGACAAGGGAUUUGGCUUGCAGUUUUACCUGGCCAACCAGUCACAGUAGCCUUGAGCAUCUGGAUGCAAUUUCAAGCUUUGUUGUUCAGCAGUUGUCCUUGCAUUUGGGUUUCUUUCGUGUACAUUGUCUAGAAGCAUACUGGAAAGAAUCUAGAUCCAAUUCUAGAAGAGCCAGCCGUCAGUCGUUAGUGGAUGAUGAUUGGUCAUAGUCAAAAAAUCUCAAGAACUUU
RNA transcript from Papaver somniferum (opium poppy), 4640 nucleotides. RefSeq lists it as uncharacterized. Lineage: Eukaryota; Viridiplantae; Streptophyta; Magnoliopsida; Ranunculales; Papaveraceae. The transcript has 5 exons. The record is from RefSeq and is a predicted model, not a curated record.